This 175-nucleotide transfer-messenger RNA is filed under the name Sporomusaceae bacterium. RNAcentral describes it as "partial transfer-messenger RNA". It matches the Rfam family "transfer-messenger RNA", at positions 1 to 197 of the family's 374-position model. From Rfam's summary of the family: Bacterial tmRNA, also known as 10Sa RNA or SsrA, is named for its dual tRNA and mRNA-like properties. Its role is to liberate the mRNA from a stalled ribosome. The record is from RNAcentral. Lineage: Bacteria; Bacillati; Bacillota; Negativicutes; Selenomonadales; Sporomusaceae.
GGGGGCGUAAAGGUUUCGACAGGGGUGGUUGUGGCAUAGGCAGCGAGCCGGGAUUCCAUCAGCCCGUCAAUACGGUGGAAAAGCAUAAUUGCAAACAACGAAUACGCUUUAGCAGCUUAAUGCUAACGUUCUACCGUCCCUCUUCCUGUGGGGAAGGCUAGGACGUCACAAUGCA